Long non-coding RNA from Gopherus flavomarginatus (Mexican gopher tortoise), 2477 nucleotides. RefSeq lists it as uncharacterized. The record is from RefSeq and is a predicted model, not a curated record. The transcript has 2 exons. NCBI's taxonomy places the organism in Eukaryota, Metazoa, Chordata, Testudines, Testudinidae.
GCAGCAGAGGGAGUGCUGCAAAGCAAACACAUUCCUGAAAUAGCAUGAGGCUUUCUAUGCCUGAAUUCUUUCCAGCCUAUUGUCAAUAAUACAAAUGCUUUCCACUCCUCCUCCCGCCCCUCCCCCGAAAAAAGGCAAGAGGGAGGAAAAACGUAGGAUCUGGCUUAAUGGCAAUAUGUACUGCCAAAAAAUACUGUAAGCAAUAAUUGUCUUACUAUUGGGUGAAUGGGUUUUUAUUAGGAUAUAUGUUAUCAUAGAUUCACAAACAGGUUGAGUUUUCAAGGUGCCCACACCAACUACAACCGAGAUAGGUAUCCAGCUUAGAUUUUGCAGCAUUACAACUUGCACAGUAGAUCAUGUUUAUAAAUGACUGUAUUCCAUGGAUUUGUAUUGACAACUUAGUUGGAAUGUUUCUUCUGAAAUGUGUUUGGUUCACAUGCAGGCCAUAUCUCAGAAAAUCUUCCUAUGGCUUACAACCAGUUUUUGAUUUGGCCUCUGAAAUAGGUUCGUGCAACCUACUGGUGUACUAACAGCCAACUCGAUACCCAAUUACCUGGUGUACUCCUGGGGGGAUUCUGCUGGACUGUGCGCCCACAGAAAAUGCCUCCCCCACACCCUGAAUUCCUGCAGAAAACAGCAGGGAAACUGCACAAGGGGUAAGGGACGUCCAUGGGUGCAGUUUUUUUUGGGGGCUUGUAAGAGUUUUUUUUCCCCUUUCAAAAAUCCUUAAUUUUUAUAUUUCUCUUGCCUUAUUCUUUUCCCCUUCAUGUUUAGAGAAAUUAGUUAUAAAAUCAAUCUCCACUAACCCCUCCAGCACCAUGUCAUUUUCUAAGCAGUUGGCUACUCCCUUACCCUCCCAUCCCAAAGUCAUUGCUUCCCAUUCCUAAGGCGUUUCUCUGAAGGUGAUUAGCUUGCUAGAUGUCCUCAGUCUCAGGCUGUGAAGGUGCUUCCCCGGGGGUGGUGGUUUGAUCUACCUCAAUUCCCAGGUGGCUGAAGGGAGUAAGAGUAUAUUGACACUGCAAUAAAAGACACAUAGGUGGCAUGGGUCAGCCACUAAGGAUCAGGCUGUAAGGCUAUAAAAUUGCAGCCUAGAUAGUCCAGGUUAUGAGGGAGCUCAGCCUCUGAUGCCUCUAACUGGAGGGGGUCUCAGAGCUUGGGGUCCAGCCUGAGCCGAAAUGUCUACACUGUUUUUAGCCUCUGAGUCAGCAAAGUUGGUCUCUGAGCCUUGGUGUCAUGCAGUGUUGACAUAGCCUGAGUGGCUGCCAAACCAUUGUUCUAGGGUCUUGGCCAGCCAGGCCCCUCCUCCAGUGUUCCUACUGCUGGUUUCAUUAGUAUGAUUCUGAGAUGUCUGCAUUAUUCACAAGCAAAGCACACAAAUCCACCCCUAUCAUGCUAUAAGCUCUAGUAUUAUUACACUGUUAGAAGUAGCGACAAUAUUAGGGUCCACCAAAGAUGUGCAGGGUUUUUGUGGUUCAGCGUUCCAGUUAUAUUCCUUUUCAGACUGGACCCCUGCCUCAGUCUGGACUCCCGCCCUUUGCCUUCCCUUCAGGUGACUUUAGCGGUCUCUCUUCUUAGGCAGACAGGCAAUGGAGAGGAGGAGUCCCAUUUGCCUUCCUCCCCACUCUUAAAUAGGAUUUAUAUAAGGUGGGAAUUCUUUGUUUCCCAAACUUGAACCCCCUUCCCUUCCAGUGGAAAGUUACAAGAAGACCCAAGUAAUGUUUGGUAUCAGCUGACAAGACCACCUGAUCUAGUAGUGUCAUAGUUAUGUCCCCAGAUGCCUCCUAGGAUUAGUAUCUUCAUGGUUUUGUUGUUCCUUCCUGAUGGUUCAUCGAAUUUGAUGGCCUGUUGUCUGAUGGGUGUCUUCCCAUUACACACUCAGUUGUAAUUGUUACAUAGUCCAUAUUUCUAACUUUAGAUACAGAAAUGAUACAUGCAUACAAAUUGGAUAAACACAUUCAGUAAAUCAUAACCUUCCCAAUGAUACUGUUGGUGUCACCAGGUAUAACCUAGGUAACUCGAGAGGGUGGUAGACCACAAGUGUCAAUGAAGCCCUCCUGUUGUAGGCCUCAGUGAACCAUUGUUCCUCCAUGUUCAACACUUUGUGUAACCUAGUGUAACCUAAUAUGUUAAGAGCUGUAAAAUGUACUGUCAGCAGUUAGUUUUCUGAUUGUAACAGCCAGUUCCCUGCUGUAACACACUGGAGCUAAAUUGAAGCAAGUUUCAAGGCCGCUUUUAGAUACAGCGUACAUGUCUCUGCAGCAGAAAGGGGGAGAGGGAGGGGGAAAACAAAGAAGUAUGUGAGAAGAAAAUGCUGCAGCCGGACAGAAGAGGGAGGGGAAACGGGGGAUUGCUAGUCAGCAAAAAAAGUUCUCAUGGGAUAUAAAGAAACAGACUGCUUGUUUUAGGUGGGCUUGAUUUGAGGCGUCAGUCUCCCUGCACCGCUUUUAGAUCUCAAAUAAACUUGGUUUGCUUCUCCA